AACAUUCUGUGCAUUCCACUAAUAGUUUUGAGUAUAUAUUCAUUUUUAAAAUAUAUACUCAAAACUAUUAGUGGAAUGCACAGAACAU
This 88-nucleotide microRNA precursor is filed under the name Podarcis lilfordi (Lilford's wall lizard). Lineage: Eukaryota; Metazoa; Chordata; Lepidosauria; Squamata; Lacertidae. The record is from RNAcentral.